GACGAACGCUGGCGGCGUGCUUAACACAUGCAAGUCGAACGGAAAGGCCCUGCUUUUGUGGGGUGCUCGAGUGGCGAACGGGUGAGUAACACGUGAGUAACCUGCCCUUGACUUUGGGAUAACUUCAGGAAACUGGGGCUAAUACCGGAUAGGAGCUCCUGCUGCAUGGUGGGGGUUGGAAAGUUUCGGCGGUUGGGGAUGGACUCGCGGCUUAUCAGCUUGUUGGUGGGGUAGUGGCUUACCAAGGCUUUGACGGGUAGCCGGCCUGAGAGGGUGACCGGCCACAUUGGGACUGAGAUACGGCCCAGACUCCUACGGGAGGCAGCAGUGGGGAAUAUUGCACAAUGGGCGGAAGCCUGAUGCAGCAACGCCGCGUGCGUGAUGACGGCCUUCGGGUUAUAAACCGCUUUCGCCUGUGACGAAGCGUGAGUGACGGUAAUGGGUAAAGAAGCACCGGCUAACUACGUG
RNAcentral lists this ribosomal RNA (468 nucleotides) under uncultured bacterium. RNAcentral's name for it is "partial 16S ribosomal RNA". It matches the Rfam family "Bacterial small subunit ribosomal RNA", at positions 28 to 507 of the family's 1533-position model. The record is from RNAcentral.